Molecule: long non-coding RNA, 1663 nt
Filed under: Gossypium barbadense (sea-island cotton)
Lineage: Eukaryota; Viridiplantae; Streptophyta; Magnoliopsida; Malvales; Malvaceae
Description: long non-coding RNA (GBAR_LNC020138)
Source: RNAcentral
GAUUAUAAAAGUUGUGUUCUCAUAUCAUAUUAAUAAAGGUUCAUAAGUGUUAGAAAACACUCUAAAAAUCAUUAAAAGUGACUUUUUUAUAAUUAUAAUUAUAAUUACUAUGUUUUACAAUAAGUUGUGUGAAUUUUAAAAAACUUCAUGACCGCGAUACCCGCAGUGACCGCAAUAGUGUCCGUUAUGUCCGCGACCGCGAUAAACGCAACGCGACCGAAAACGCGACCGCUACCGCAAUUUAAAUCCCUGCUUCUGAUCUCAAGGUCAAGAGAGAGACUGGUGUUUUUCUCAUACUUGAGAAAAUCAAACUGUAUUAUAAUUUCAUACUUGAUUUCAAUACAAGAAAUUAUACAUGUACAUAUAUACAUAUUCGAAACUAACAUAUACAUAUAUCAAUUCAGACUGGAGCAUGGGGUGUUGGCAAUUGAAAACAAUGGAGCAUCUUAUAUUAAUGUGAAGAGAUGAAUUGAAGACCCUCAAGAAUAAAAUUUUAAGCAAAGUCAGAAUAAUUUUUUAUUAAUAAAUAAUUUUAAGCAAAUUGCAGAGCUCAAGAACCAAAACAUAAAACAUAUGUCAAACCAAAACAGAUCACUAAGAAGACCCUCAAUUUCUUAGACAUGGUCAAAUUAAUACAACUAUUAUAUAAUAUUGUUAUACUUCUUUACAAGAUACCUCUUGCCUGUCUAAUUACAUAAUACAUAUGGAUGUUGUCAUAACAUCCAGCAGUGUUAAAUCAAACAGAAAUUGAAUUUUAAGCACUUCUCUCUCUGUCCUUCAAAGGUACCAACCAAAACCAAAAUUGACCAAGAUGACAUGAGUCAUGAUUUCCAACAUCACUUCAUGUUCUACAUGCCCAUGUUUAUCCUUACAUAAUACUAGACCCACUACAGCAUGUAUAAAUAACCCACUUUAUCAAACUAAUGAAAACAACCGUAAAAGAAAGAAAAAAAAACAUUAUAUUCCAAUUCGUUUGAGAUUUUCCAUUCAUUGUUACUGGUUCGUCAUAUCUUAAACACUGACAAUUUCGAUGGCCUUAAAUUCAUUUUCUCAACCUCAUUUUGUGUUGAUACCAUUUAUGUGCCAGAGACACCUUCAAGCCAUAAAUAUGGCAACAUUAACAGAACACCAUUAACAGCAAAAAUCAAAAUCACAACCAUUAACAGCAUUAACAGCAAAAUCAAAAUCACAACCAACAUCAAAAAGAAAAAAAGGGAGAAGACAUUAAAAAAUUAGGAAACCGUUAACAGGAAAUAUGGUUAACACUUAACAGAUAACUCACCUUUGAAGACGUUGAAGGCUAGAUUCGCUGGAAGCACCGUUAGAGCGGAGGUGGAGUCGUGGAGGACCGGUCACUGGAGGUGGAAUGGUGGUCGGGCGAGGUGGGUUUCCGAUUUGGGGGAAAAAGGGGAGGGAUUGCGUUAGGGAUUUGUCUCUGAAGAUAAAAAAAGGAAGGGAAGGGUGUCCGGGAAAUGGGGAGGGGAAUUGGGAAAUGUUAAAUUAUAAUAAUAAAUUUUAAAAAUAAAAAAAAAUAUUAUUUAGAUCCGGGCCGGGCCGGGCCAGGGCCAAAAAAGUUUUACCCGGGGCCCGGCCCAUUUUUUAUUUCGGGCCUAUUUUUCCCCUCCCAAAUUUCGGGCGGGCCUUUGGGCCGAGCCGGGCUGCC